CCCUUAGAUGUUCUGGGCCGCACGCGCGCUACACUGAUGCAUUCAACGAGUUUCUUCCUGGUCCGAGAGGAAUGGGUAACCUUUUGAAAGUGCAUCGUGAUAGGGAUAGACUAUUGCAAUUAUUGGUCUUCAACGAGGAAUUCCUAGUAGACGUAGUUCAUCAGACUGCAUCGAUUACGUCCCUGCCCUUUGUACACACCGCCCGUCGCUCCUACCGAUUGAAUGCUCAGGUGAGCCAUUCGGACUUUCAUCAUGCUGGUUCCAGUUUUGAUGAAGGAAAGUCUUGCGAACCUUAUCAUUUAGAGGAAGGAGAAGUCGUAACA
Molecule: ribosomal RNA, 323 nt
Filed under: uncultured eukaryote
Lineage: Eukaryota
Description: partial 18S ribosomal RNA
Rfam family: Eukaryotic small subunit ribosomal RNA
Source: RNAcentral